RNA transcript from Triticum aestivum (bread wheat), 3357 nucleotides. RefSeq lists it as uncharacterized. The transcript is spliced from 4 exons. NCBI's taxonomy places the organism in Eukaryota, Viridiplantae, Streptophyta, Magnoliopsida, Poales, Poaceae. The record is from RefSeq and is a predicted model, not a curated record.
CGCCGCCCUCCUCCUUCCCCGGCGCCGGCCGCCUCCCUCCACUACGCGCCGCUCCUCCUUCCCCGGCGCCGGCCGCCUCCCUCCACCACGCGCCGCCCUCCUUCCCCUGCGCCGGCCACCUACCUCCAUCGUGCAGAUCCACGCCAUCCCCGUACUCCUCCUUCAUCCUGCUGGGAGAUCUCGUGCGCCGCCCUCUGGCAGCCGGUGAUGCUUCCCCGCCACCACUCUGCCUCCUUCCCGAUGGGGCAACGAUGCCGCGCGUACAGGAAGUUCAUCGCCGCCAUCUCAGGCCGUUCAAUGUCGACGUCUUGGACGCGCCAUGCUCCAACGCCAUGGCUUGGGCUUCAGCAGCAAACAAUGGAGCCUACAGGGGGAGCCGCAGGGUUGAGGACGUCCUGUUCGAUAGUACAACUGCUUGCUCGGCCGCCGGUCACUCAAGGAGCUUGUCAUUGCCUACCGUGCAACCAUCAAGCGUGUGCUAAUUGUGACUGAGGUUGCACUGCCCAGCAAUACAGGCAGCAGUUUCACACUACAGGUAAAUGACAUUGCCUCUGUGAGAUAAUUAUCUUGCAAAUGAUCAGCAAGAAGAUUUACAGUUUAUUUAUGUGUUUAUUUAGCUCCACCCAAUACUGUAAAAAUGCAUGAGUCUAAUACCCUGUGGCCUAGCUGACCGAAUUAGCAUGGAAGCUUCUCCUUUCACCAUGAAAUAAAUGAUAGAUUCAACAGUUGCUAGGUAAAUCACAAAUCUAUUUACUACAUGUAUUACUACCCUACAUUCAUGUCGUCAGAAAAGUCCAUGUAUUACUACCAUGGGAGUUCAAAGAAAGGUCAUCUAUAAAAUAGUAUAACUUGUGAGCUUCUUGCAGACUAAUGACGAGUUACUAGAUAAACUUAGGCACCACACCACAGUCCAUUCACUGCCGCAUCCGAGGCUGUUCAAUGAUGCAACAACGAGGUCUGGCCUCCCCCCUUCCUAUUUUCAUGAAGCAUAUUCUGCAAAAAUAUCAGACGCUCUCAACUGAAUAAAAAGUGUGUCGCGCAAGUUCAGAUGUACAUUCUUCACCUAGUCGAGCAGCAAAGUUGUCGCACCAAAUCGAACUUGCUGCUGCACCAUCUCCACCAAGUCGAACUUGCAGCAGCCAGGUACCAUAGUCGCUUAACUUGAUCUCUCUGGUAGCUCAUCCGGCAAGACUGCUCAAUGGUAUGACUUCUUUGCACAAAAUCAGAUCUGGUAGUUUGUCUGAGAGACACAUUUGUUCUGUAUCGUACUGCACCUUGUGCUCCCUUCAUCCCAUCCAUGCUUAGAUGAGAUUUUUCUGUGCAAUCAGACUUGGGCUAGGGUCAAAAAAUUGGUGAUCUUAGUUCUGAAUUGCUGGGCAUGCAACUCCUCGUUUGUUAAUUGCUAAGUGAUAGUCUGAACAAUCGAUAAGGGAGCCGCUGUGCAUUACUAUUGAAACACAAGGUUGUUGCAUUUCUCAAAAAAAAGUCUAAACCAAGGGAGCCGCUGUGCACCAAUCCUCCCCGCCGUGCGGCGACCACCUCUGUCGCCCCGAGUUCCCAGCUGCAUGCAUUCAGGAGCAAGAAAAAAGAGAGAUUAAUUGUCCGUCCACACUGCCUCUCCUCCCAAGUCCACACUAGUUUUAUCACAAAAAGCAGAGGAUGUCUAUUUUAUUUCCUGAAACAAAAAUUAGGUGUUCUCAGUUCAGUACGUGAGCUAUCUCAAGUUCUUGGAAAACAUAUAAACAGUACGGUGUUUGUGCAAAAAAUUCAGACUGUUUUCUAAUUAUACAGCAGUUUACCAUAUGGUAGAAUUGUAGUUGUUCAGUAAAAAGGUUCACUACCCCAACUGGGGGAUUUUCAAUCCGUUUUGUCUUUCUUUUCCAACUGAAAGUUGUAGCAAAUGUGAACUGAAGCUGUUGUGGAGCAAAUUAGGAAUAGUUGCCUACUCUUUUGCCGCUGCUACCUUGCCACCUAGAUUAAUACUACUACUACUACUUAUCGUGUUGCUAAACCUCGUGCUCUGGACAAUUUGUGGGAAAGUCUGGAGGCACAAGUUGCUCCGCGACCGAGGAAGGCCCCGGUGCUUGCCAUGGCUGAAGACGGCCUCCAACCGCCGGGCCCAAAGCAGCCAGCCUUUGUUCGCAUGCGCGUCUCCUUCCUGCGUCACCUAGGUAUGCGCCACCACCCGCCGCGCUCGAUGCUUCCUACUCCCAUAGCCGUCCUCAGUUCAACCCCAUGGCGUCGAGAUGGUCGAGUUAGUCGCGAGCAGCAGUCCGCCGUACCUAGAAACUGGAUUUUUAUCUGCAAAAUCAGUUCACCGUACCUAGAACAACCAGUUCGAUCCAUCUCCUGAUUCUGAAAAUAUGAAUUGCGUUUACUGCCAAAAUUGAUGCUCUAUAGUUCACCAUGUAUAUAUGUCAUCAGUUCAAAAAAGACGUACAGAAAAAAGUUCAAUUGUAUGUGUUAAAACCAAGUUUGGUUUUCUACUAUAUGUCAGAUUAUUACAAAAUACAAUAAAAGAUUUUGCUCAUGUGGCUGUAAGCUCUAACCAUAUGGCAACAAAGAGAAAAAUGAGUAUGAAGUAUUGUUGUUUCCGUAUUGUUAAGUUCAGUAUGUAUUCCAUUUUCAGUACGUAAACAAACACACAGGAUCUUUAUAAGAGCAAAAACUACAAAAUGGAAAUCUGUAAGUUCAACUACAUAUAUUACAACAAUUGAAAAUACAAAAAAUUACAUCAGUUCAAUGACAGAAAAACAUGAGUUCGAAAAGUUUUUGACUCUUGAACUGAUAGCUGAAAGAUACGAUAUGUGUACUGUUGAUAAUCUCAAACAUGUGUUACUCAACUUUAGAAAACAUGUAAAAUUGUUGUGCUGCUUUGCGAUGUCUCCAGCAGUCCUACUUCUCCAUGACGACAAGGACGACAUCGCCAUGCGUGCACGCUCCAACCUGUCCCCUGUCGCAGCCCCACCACUCGUUGCCGAUGCACUCCAACCCGAGGACCACCAUGAUGGAGGUCGCCUCACAGCCUAGCGACGAGUGUUUGUUGGUUUCUCUUUCAUUUACGGACAUCUUGGGCUUGCUGGGUGCAUAAUCAAGAAGCCCAAUCAUCAUCAGGGAUGAAAAAAGGAGAGAAGCACGGGAAGAGGUACUAGUAGAAGAGGAAGAAGUAAUGUGAAAAAUGAGAUAAAUGUGAGAAUAGCAAGUAGUAAAGCAUGAGAGGGAUUCAGAUUUUGUUUUCACAUUCUUGCUGUACACGUACCUUUGGUCUGUAGAUGCACCGUAAUGGAUCUAGGAAGUAUGAAUGGUUAAUACCUCAAUGGUGCACUAUGCAUCUUUGGCAGGUUUUUAUGCAUUUUU